UACGUAGGGUGCAAGCGUUAAUCGGAAUUACUGGGCGUAAAGCGUGCGCAGGCGGUUCUAUAAGACAGAUGUGAAAUCCCCGGGCUCAACCUGGGAACUGCAUUUGUGACUGUAGAGCUGGAGUGCGGGCAGAGGGGGAUGGAAUUCCGCGUGUAGCAGUGAAAUGCGUAGAUAUGCGGAGGAACACCGAUGGACGAAGGCAAUCCCUUGGACCUGUACUGACGCUCAUGCACGAAAGCGUGGGGAGCAACAGG
This 254-nucleotide ribosomal RNA is filed under the name uncultured bacterium. RNAcentral describes it as "partial 16S ribosomal RNA". It matches the Rfam family "Bacterial small subunit ribosomal RNA", at positions 524 to 775 of the family's 1533-position model. The record is from RNAcentral.